AAAUUAGUAAAGGGGAGCCCAUGGCUGAGAGUAGAUUUGAUCUAGACCCUAGAACCUGAAUACGUUAAUGCGUGCGUAGGGAUUACUGUAGGAUUAUAG
This 99-nucleotide non-coding RNA is filed under the name Facklamia hominis. RNAcentral describes it as "TPP sequence". It matches the Rfam family "TPP riboswitch aptamer (THI element)". From Rfam's summary of the family: Vitamin B(1) in its active form thiamin pyrophosphate (TPP) is an essential coenzyme that is synthesised by coupling of pyrimidine and thiazole moieties in bacteria. RNAcentral also lists the same sequence under 1 other name. Lineage: Bacteria; Bacillati; Bacillota; Bacilli; Lactobacillales; Aerococcaceae. The record is from RNAcentral.